AAGUCGGAAUCGCUAGUAAUCGUGGAUCAGAAUGCCACGGUGAAUACGUUCCCGGGCCUUGUACACACCGCCCGUCACACCAUGGGAGUGGGCUGCAAAAGAAGUAGGUAGUUUAACCUUCGGGGGGACGCUUACCACUUUGUGGUUCAUGACUGGGGUGAAGUCGUAACAAGGUAGCGCUAGGGGAACCUGGCGCUGGAUCACCUCCUUAAACGAUGA
This 219-nucleotide ribosomal RNA is filed under the name Vibrio parahaemolyticus. RNAcentral's name for it is "partial 16S ribosomal RNA". It matches the Rfam family "Bacterial small subunit ribosomal RNA", at positions 1323 to 1533 of the family's 1533-position model. Lineage: Bacteria; Pseudomonadati; Pseudomonadota; Gammaproteobacteria; Vibrionales; Vibrionaceae. The record is from RNAcentral.